AGUGAACGCUGGCGGUAGGCCUAACACAUGCAAGUCGAACGGCAGCACAGAGGAGCUUGCUCCUUGGGUGGCGAGUGGCGGACGGGUGAGGAAUACAUCGGAAUCUACUCUGUCGUGGGGGAUAACGUAGGGAAACUUACGCUAAUACCGCAUACGACCUACGGGUGAAAGCAGGGGAUCUUCGGACCUUGCGCGAUUGAAUGAGCCGAAGUCGGAUUAGCUAGUUGGCGGGGUAAAGGCCCACCAAGGCGACGAUCCGUAGCUGGUCUGAGAGGAUGAUCAGCCACACUGGAACUGAGACACGGUCCAGACUCCUACGGGAGGCAGCAGUGGGGAAUAUUGGACAAUGGGCGCAAGCCUGAUCCAGCCAUACCGCGUGGGUGAAGAAGGCCUUCGGGUUGUAAAGCCCUUCUGUUGGGAAAGAAAUCCAUCUGGUUAAUACCCGGGUGGGAUGACGGUACCCAAAGAAUAAGCACCGGCUAACUUCGUGCCAGCAGCCGCCGCAG
This 506-nucleotide ribosomal RNA is filed under the name uncultured bacterium. Its description in RNAcentral is "partial 16S ribosomal RNA". It matches the Rfam family "Bacterial small subunit ribosomal RNA", at positions 29 to 523 of the family's 1533-position model. The record is from RNAcentral.